Molecule: ribosomal RNA, 470 nt
Filed under: uncultured Geobacter sp.
Lineage: Bacteria; Pseudomonadati; Thermodesulfobacteriota; Desulfuromonadia; Geobacterales; Geobacteraceae
Description: bacterial SSU rRNA
Rfam family: Bacterial small subunit ribosomal RNA
Source: RNAcentral
GACGGGGCCCGCACAAGCGGUGAGCAUGUGGUUUAAUUCGAUGCAACGCGAAGAACCUUACCUGGGCUUGACAUCCCGGGAAUCCCUUGGAAACAAGGGAGUGCCCUUCGGGAACCUGGAGACAGGUGCUGCAUGGCUGUCGUCAGCUCGUGUCGUGAGAUGUAGGGUUAAGUCCCGCAACGAGCGCAACCCCUUUGUCUUUAAUUGCCAUCAUUGAGUUGGGCACUUUAAAGAGACUGCCGGUGUUAAACCGGAGGAAGGUGGGGAUGACGUCAAGUCCUCAUGGCCUUUAUGCCCAGGGCUACACACGUGCUACAAUGGCAGGUACAGAGGGCUGCGAAGCCGCGAGGUGGAGCGAAUCCCAGAAAACCUGUCUCAGUCCGGAUUGAAGUCUGCAACUCGACUUCAUGAAGGCGGAAUCGCUAGUAACCGCGAACCAGCAGGUCGCGGUGAAUACGUUCCCGGGCCUU